Molecule: ribosomal RNA, 460 nt
Filed under: uncultured bacterium
Lineage: Bacteria
Description: partial 16S ribosomal RNA
Rfam family: Bacterial small subunit ribosomal RNA
Source: RNAcentral
CCUACGGGAGGCAGCAGUGAGGAAUAUUGGUCAAUGGACGAGAGUCUGAACCAGCAAAGCAGCGUGAAUGAUGACGGUCCUCGGAUUGGUAAACUCUUUUUUUAUGGGAGUAAAAUGUUCCGCGUGUGUGAUCAUGUAUCUACGAUAUCUAUAAGGCACGGCUAACUACGUGCCAUCAGCGGCGGUAAUACGGAGGAUCGGAGCGUUAUACGGACUGAUUGGGUUUAAAGGGAGGGUAGGUGGUUUGGUAAGUCAGUUGUGAAAGUUUUCGGCUCAACCGCAGAAGUGCAGUUGAAACUGGGAGACUUGAGUGCAGGAGAGGUGAGCGGAAUUCGAGGUGUAGCGGUGAAAUGCGUAGAUAUCACGAAGAACACCAGUUGCGAAGGCGGCUCACUGGACUGCAACUGACACUGAGGCUCGAAAGUGUGGGUAGCAAACAGGAUUAGAUACCCUAGUAGUC